This 23-nucleotide non-coding RNA is filed under the name Mus musculus (house mouse). The record is from RNAcentral. Lineage: Eukaryota; Metazoa; Chordata; Mammalia; Rodentia; Muridae.
UGCUGUCACUAUUGACCCCGUGA